GGGGAAGGAGCACAGCUCAGCAGUAGAACAUCUGCUUUGAAUGCAAAAGGUCCCGGGUUCAGCCCCUGGUGUCCCCA
Podarcis lilfordi (Lilford's wall lizard) is the source of this 77-nucleotide non-coding RNA. NCBI's taxonomy places the organism in Eukaryota, Metazoa, Chordata, Lepidosauria, Squamata, Lacertidae. The record is from the annotation of a GenBank genome assembly.